UCGCCCACGAGCGAUUGUUUCUCGUGAUCACGUGUCUUUGUAUCAAUACAAAAUGGCGGAUCGGUGGGACUUUCGUUCGUUCGGGGCGGGCGGAUUAACUU
RNAcentral lists this microRNA precursor (101 nucleotides) under Capitella teleta. RNAcentral's name for it is "microRNA cte-mir-278 precursor". Its record names the gene cte-mir-278. The record is from miRBase by way of RNAcentral. Lineage: Eukaryota; Metazoa; Annelida; Polychaeta; Capitellidae.